CCUACGGGAGGCAGCAGUGGGGAAUUUUGGACAAUGGGCGAAAGCCUGAUCCAGCCAUGCCGCGUGCAGGAUGAAGGCCUUCGGGUUGUAAACUGCUUUUGUACGGAACGAAAAGGUCUUUUCUAAUAAAGAAGGCUCAUGACGGUACCGUAAGAAUAAGCACCGGCUAACUACGUGCCAGCAGCCGCGGUAAUACGUAGGGUGCGAGCGUUAAUCGGAAUUACUGGGCGUAAAGCGUGCGCAGGCGGUUAUAUAAGACAGUUGUGAAAUCCCCGGGCUCAACCUGGGAACUGCAUCUGUGACUGUAUAGCUAGAGUACGGUAGAGGGGGAUGGAAUUCCGCGUGUAGCAGUGAAAUGCGUAGAUAUGCGGAGGAACACCGAUGGCGAAGGCAAUCCCCUGGACCUGUACUGACGCUCAUGCACGAAAGCGUGGGGAGCAAACAGGAUUAGAUACCCUGGUAGUCCACGCCCUAAACGAUGUCAACUGGUUNUUGGGUCUUCACUGACUCAGUAACGAAGCUAACGCGUGAAGUUGACCGCCUGGGGGAGGACGGCGCGAGUAGUUAAGUUACUAAUUAGAGUUAGAGGCGNGNGAGNGCGACGGACGACGACGAGGGAGGAGG
RNAcentral lists this ribosomal RNA (624 nucleotides) under uncultured bacterium. RNAcentral's name for it is "bacterial SSU rRNA". The stretch from base 1 to 542 matches the Rfam family "Bacterial small subunit ribosomal RNA", at positions 338 to 873 of the family's 1533-position model. The record is from RNAcentral.